This 465-nucleotide ribosomal RNA is filed under the name uncultured bacterium. RNAcentral's name for it is "partial 16S ribosomal RNA". It matches the Rfam family "Bacterial small subunit ribosomal RNA", at positions 28 to 507 of the family's 1533-position model. The record is from RNAcentral.
GACGAACGCUGGCGGCGUGCUUAACACAUGCAAGUCGUACGGUCAGGCCCUUUCGGGGGUACUCGAGUGUCGACCGGGUGAGUAACACGUGCGUAACCUGCCCCCACCUUUGGGAUAACGCUAGGUAACUGGUGCCAAUACUGGAUCUGUGCUCCUGCUGCAUGGUGGGGGUUGGAAAGCUCCGGCGGUUGUGGCUGGACUUGCGGCCUAUCAGCUUGUUGGUGGGGCAGUGGCCUACCAAGACGGCGACGGGUAGCCGGCCUGUGAGGGUGACCGGCCACACAGAGACUGAGAGACGGCACAGAUACCUACGGGAGGGAGCUGGGGGGAAGAUUGAACGAUGAGCGCAGGCCGGAUGCAGCAGGGCCUCGGGUGGGAUGACGGCCUUAGGGGUGUAGACCGCAUUCAGCAGGAACGAAGCAUUUUGUGACGGUACCUGCAGAAGAAGCACCGGCUAACUACGUG